GGCACCAACAUGGCCAAGAGGUAUCAGCAGUGCACUAAGUUAAUGGGGUCUUGGAGAGCCUACAAGAGGGAUGUCAUCUGAUACACAAACUCGCCACAGCUGACAAUCCAAGCAAGUCCAGAGGCCUGCCUGCAUUCUACCUAGACUUCCAGUCACAGGCUCAAUGGUUCAGAGAGAAGAAUGGAGAGCCGAAGUCAGCUGUUUCUAUGGAAGAGAUGAUCCAGCCUCUACCCUCAAGGGCUGCCUAAUUCUGAAGCCCAGAAGGGUCCUCUACAAGG
Molecule: long non-coding RNA, 278 nt
Organism: Suricata suricatta (meerkat)
Lineage: Eukaryota; Metazoa; Chordata; Mammalia; Carnivora; Herpestidae
Exons: 3
Source: RefSeq, a predicted model, not a curated record